This 532-nucleotide ribosomal RNA is filed under the name uncultured bacterium. RNAcentral's name for it is "bacterial SSU rRNA". It matches the Rfam family "Bacterial small subunit ribosomal RNA", at positions 977 to 1509 of the family's 1533-position model. The record is from RNAcentral.
GGCCUUGACAUACUAAGAACUUUCCAGAGAUGGAUUGGUGCCUUCGGGAACUUAGAUACAGGUGCUGCAUGGCUGUCGUCAGCUCGUGUCGUGAGAUGUUGGGUUAAGUCCGCAACGAGCGCAACCCUUUUCCUUAUUUGCCAGCGGGUAAUGCCGGGAACUUUAAGGAUACUGCCAGUGACAAACUGGAGGAAGGCGGGGACGACGUCAAGUCAUCAUGGCCCUUACGGCCAGGGCUACACACGUGCUACAAUGGUCGGUACAAAGGGUUGCUACCUCGCGAGAGGAUGCUAAUCUCAAAAAGCCGAUCGUAGUCCGGAUCGCAGUCUGCAACUCGACUGCGUGGAGUCGGAAUCGCUAGUAAUCGCGGAUCAGAAUGCCGCGGUGAAUACGUUCCCGGGCCUUGUACACACCUCCCGUCACACCAUGGGAGUUUGUUGCACCAGAAGUAGGUAGUCUAACCGCAAGGAGGACGCUUACCACGGUGUGGCCGAUGACUGGGGUGAAGUCGUAACAAGGUAGGCGUAGAUGA